RNAcentral lists this ribosomal RNA (497 nucleotides) under uncultured bacterium. RNAcentral's name for it is "partial 16S ribosomal RNA". It matches the Rfam family "Bacterial small subunit ribosomal RNA", at positions 28 to 507 of the family's 1533-position model. The record is from RNAcentral.
GAUGAACGCUGGCGGCGUGCCUAAUACAUGCAAGUCGAGCGAACGGACGAGAAGCUUGCUUCUCUGAUGUUAGCGGCGGACGGGUGAGUAACACGUGGAUAACCUACCUAUAAGACUGGGAUAACUUCGGGAAACCGGAGCUAAUACCGGAUGAUAUUUUGAACCGCAUGGUUCAAAAGUGAAAGACGGUCUUGCUGUCACUUAUAGAUGGAUCCGCGCUGCAUUAGCUAGUUGGUAAGGUAAUGGCUUACCAAGGCAACGAUGCAUAGCCGACCUGAGAGGGUGAUCGGCCACACGGGAACUGGGACACGGUCCAGACUCCCAAGGGAGGCAGCAGUAGGGAAUCUUCCGCAAUGGGCGAAAGCCUGACGGAGCAACGCCGCGUGAGUGAUGAAGGUCUUCGGAUCGUAAAACUCUGUUAUUAGGGAAGAACAUAUGUGUAAGUAACUGUGCACAUCUUGACGGUACCUAAUCAGAAAGCCACGGCUAACUACGUG